Balaenoptera acutorostrata (minke whale) is the source of this 3052-nucleotide long non-coding RNA. RefSeq lists it as uncharacterized. The record is from RefSeq and is a predicted model, not a curated record. NCBI's taxonomy places the organism in Eukaryota, Metazoa, Chordata, Mammalia, Artiodactyla, Balaenopteridae. The transcript is spliced from 3 exons.
AGGUGAAUUGGAAGCCCAGUUAUCAGGCAGGAGUUGGAAAAGUCAGAAUAUGACAUAUGCCGGGUAGCCCCUAUGAAGAAGAAUCCAGAGCUGGAAGAGUUUUUUCUUCCUCACUCUGUGCUGAGCCAAGGGAAAUAGUUGCUCUGAAUGCUUCUCUGUCCAAGUAAAACAGCCUUUGUUUUUAGUGGUCCCAGGGACUCAUGAAGGCUGAGCCCUUUCAGCUCCCAGAGCUAGGUGAAUUGGGGGCUAGUCCCUUAGGUGGCAGUUGAAAACUGGUGUGCUAGAGGUGUGGACAAGCUCCUUUCAGGAGAGAAGAUAAAAAUUUGGUCUUACUUGGAGCUGGGAGAGAUAGCAGGGGACAUGUCCACCAGGUUUACCAGGCUCACAAAAGGAUCCCAGUGAGCUUCCACAUGCUGACUAACUGGAAGCCAGAACCACAGGCAGCAGCUAGGAAAAUAUACAACUUCCUUCCAGGGAGAAACUGGGAGAUGGGCAUUAUUUUGUCAUCUCCCUCCAUGCUGGGUCUGGGUGUAUAGCUACAGGGAAUCCUCAUGCAUCCAUUUAAAAACUGCUUCUUUGUUUGCUAUAGUACUGUGGUGCUCAGGAAUGCAAGCCCAGUUGACUUUCAGAGGCAGGUUAUUUUGGGGUCCAUCCCUCAGGUGGCAGUUUUAAAAGUCAGGGUUCUAAAUGUGUAGACAAGCUCCCUCCAGGGACAUGCAGGAGAUUUGGCUUUAUUGUUGAAGGAAGCUGGGGGGAGAGAGCAGGGUAAGUACCCACUGGCUCUUUGGGGCUCUAGGCAGGAUUCCAGUCAGCUGAAAUGCAAGCUGAUUAGAAGCUGGGCCCUCAGACAGUAGCUGGCAAAGUAUGUAGUCCAACACCCUCCAGGAAGAAAUUGGGAGAUAAGCAUUUGUGUGUGUUCCCUCUGCUCUGAGCUUGGGGAGAUAGCCAGAGGGAGUGCUCAAGCACCUUGUAAAAACUGCUUAUUUGUUUGCUCUAAUACCAUGGGACUUGUGAAGGGAAGCCCGUUUGGCUCUCAGAGCUAGAUGAUUUGGGGGCCCAUCCCUCAGGCGGCAGCCUUAAAAUUUGGGACAUUAGAAAUGUGGUGCAAACAGUGCGCUAAUUGGGAAGAGGCUAGGAGUUGGUGGUUUCAGAAAGAUUAUAAGGCGCUGUUCUUGGGUGGGGUUUAUAGUAAGAGUGUGUCUCAUCCUUUCCUACACAUUUCCUUGUGGGUAUUUUCUCAGUUUCCCAAUGUGUAGGAGUCACUAAAGUUAGUUUCUUGAUAUCUUUCAGAGGGAAUUGAUCUGUGUGUAGCUGUAUAUUCAGUGCAUCCAUGGAAGGAGGGAAAUUCAGGAGUCUCUUCUGUGUCCAUCUUGAGAUUCGUUAAGUGAGAUGAGAGGAAGGCUCAUCUUUGGUCUAUCUUAUACUGAACCAAGGGCCAGCCAUGACCAAGCACCUCCACCUAAGGGAGCAGCACCCAUUUCGUCAGGACUUUCUGCCAGCUGAAUCUUCAGUCCUCUGCACCUUCCUAAACGCUACAGAAGAUGAACAUAUCUGAGGUCAGCUCUCUAUUCAUUUCCCACUUUGUGGUGUGAUGGAUUUAACUCUUGAUUUCAGAUUGCUCUCAGCCUGUUUUAUACAUUCUUUAUCAAUGUAAGUUAUUUUCCUUUUAGGAUUAGUUUGCUAAGAUUUUACUUGAGUCAGGAAUGUACACUCUUGAGUUAUAUUGAAUAGCUUUUUGUAUGUAUUGUAGUAAAGGUAUAGCUUAUUUUCUUUAAUCUGCAAAUUUUCGAGGUAGCUGAAAUGGAUUUUAGAAUGGUAACUUACUCUUGAAUUCUUGUAUGGAUGCUACUUGCUAAUGGGUUCUAGUUUUUUGGUUUUGAUUUUACAUACUAAAUAGUGUGAUUUGUAAAUAAGCAUAUUUUUUUUAUCUCUUUCUAUCUCUGUGCACUUUAAUUUCUUUUUCAGUCAGGCUGGGAUUUAAUGUGAAAGAAUUCAUUUAUUCACUGCUAAGUAUGAUGUUAGUCAUAUGCCUUAAAUAGCUUCUCAUUGUCAGAUCUUUUCUUUUCCUCCUAUUCCUAGUGCUAUAAAAUUAGUGUCAUUUCUUCCUUAAAAAUUCACUCUAGAAUUCACUACAGAAACAAUGUGGACCUGAAGUUUACUUUGUCAGAAUUUUUUUUUUUAAAUAACAAUUUUAUUGAGGUACAAUUCUUGUACCAAAAAUUCACCCUUUUAAUUUGUGCAGUGCAGUGCUUUUUUUAAAAUAUGUUCACAGAGAUGUGGAAUUAUCACCACUCUUUAAUUUUAGAAUAAUUUCAUCACCCUCAAAAGAAACCCUGUACUCUUUAGUAGUCACUCUCCAUUCCUGCUCCCAAGCUCCUAGGAACUACUAAUCUACUCCGUGUCUUUAGAGAUUUGCUUAUUUUGGAGGUUUCCUAUAAAUGGAAUCACAAAAUAUGUACCCUUUGGUGAAUGGCUUCUUUCAUUUAGCAUGACCUUUUUAAGGUUCAUCACUGUUGUAAUACGCAUCAGUAAUCCAGUUCAGUUUCUGGCCAAGCUAAUAUUUAGUUGUAUGGAUAUAUCACAUUUUGUUUAUCAGUUUAUCAGUUGAUAGACAUUUGUUGUUUCUGUUUUGACUGUUAUGACUGUUUUGACUGUUAUGAGCAGUUGUGUAAACAUUUUUGUGUGUACCCAGUUUUCCAAUCUACUUUGUAUAUACUUAGAAUGGAAUUACUGGGCGAUAAGGUAACUGUUCAACAAAUUUAGAAACUGCCAGAACAAUUUUCCAAGGCAGUGGAACUAUUUUACCACCCCAUCAGCAAUGAAUGAGGGUUACAGUUUUCCCACAACUACCAUUAGUCAUUGUUAUUGUCUGUCUUUUUUUUAAAAGCCCUCCUGGUGAAUGUGAAGUGGGAUUUUAUUAUGGUCAUGAUUUGCAUCUCCCUAAUGUUGAGCAUCUUUUCGUGUUCUAAUUUUUUAUUGGCUGUUUGUAUAUAUUCCUUGGAGAAAUGUCUGUUCACAUUCAUUCUCCGUUAAUAAAUUGGGUUAUUUGUCA